This 253-nucleotide ribosomal RNA is filed under the name uncultured bacterium. Its description in RNAcentral is "partial 16S ribosomal RNA". It matches the Rfam family "Bacterial small subunit ribosomal RNA", at positions 524 to 776 of the family's 1533-position model. The record is from RNAcentral.
UACGUAGGGUCCGAGCGUUGUCCGGAAUUAUUGGGCGUAAAGGGCUCGUAGGCGGUUUGUCACGUCGGGAGUGAAAACUCAGGGCUCAACCCUGAGCGUGCUUCCGAUACGGGCAGACUAGAGGUAUGCAGGGGAGAACGGAAUUCCUGGUGUAGCGGUGGAAUGCGCAGAUAUCAGGAGGAACACCGGUGGCGAAGGCGGUUCUCUGGGCAUGACCUGACGCUGAGGAGCGAAAGCGUGGGGAGCGAACAGG